AUGACCGGCGAAACCUGUUUCGUUUACAACGAGGAGCGUGAGUACUUAGUAAUAAAUUGGGCAAGACCACCUUGGCUUAGCUGGCUUACAACGAUGUGUUUGUGAUCAAACCGUGCUGUUGAAGAAACAUUGAACUCGAGUAACUUCACAACUUGUAUGACGAGGGCCGUGAGGACUUAUAGAAAAUUUAACAAGUCUUGUCUUAGUACCCAAAUUGAUGCCGUAUCAUUCGCGUUGAAGCUGCUCGACCUAAAUUAGCCUAGCGCGCUAACAAGAUUACCUACGUAGAGUAUACAACGAGGACCAAACAUUGAACGUGGACUCAACCUUCAACUACUAGACUGAGGGCCAUUGUGGUUUGAAUCCCUUCCAUCCACAUAUCCUUUAAAUCACCACAUCCUUUAUAUUUUCACACAGGUAGUGUGUGAUUUUUGUAUUUUAUGUGCUGAAUUUAUUUGAUUGCUUGUUUUAACGAUCUGCAACACGAAGGGGGGCUCAAUUCCUGUGCGUCCUGUAGGCCAGUCCCAAGCCCAGAUAAUGCAGAGGGUUGUGGCAGGAAGGGCAUCUGGCGUAAAACUGUGCCAAACAUAUAUGAGUGUUCAUCGAACGAAUUCCAUAAUUUAUAGCACUGGCACUGUUAAUCUGCAAGAUGUAGGUAGAAAUUUAGAUAAUGUAGUUUGAAGACAAAAAAGAAGAGGAAAGCGGCUUAGUCGGCAGAAGAAGAAGAGGCAUGGACAGAUAGGAUUAAAAAUGAGCUCAUUAGAGGGACACCCAAAGUUGGAUGUUUUGGAGACAAGGUCAGAGAGAGCACAAUUAGAUUGUUUGGACAUGUUCAGAGACGAGAGAGUGAGUAUAUUGGUAGAAGGGUGCUGAGGAUGGCGCUGCCAGGCAAAAGAGCGAGAGGAAGACCAAAGAAAAGGUUGAUGGAUGUUGUGAGGGAGGACAUGAUGACAGUGGGUGUGUUAGAGAAGAGGAUGGACGAGAUAGGCUUCGAUGGAAAAAGAUGACACGCUCUGGUGACCCCUUAACAGGACAAGCCGAAAGAAGAAGAGAUUUUCUCACUGACCAGUCUGUCUUAAAAGCAUCAACAUAAGACAUGAACAUUUCACACAUUGGUAAAAAGCUGUGUGUUUAGAUGUCACACUGGGACAGUUGUCAAUGAGAAGACUCUGUGACACAUGCUAUGGGAGAUGAACAAGAGAUUUUCUGAUUUUUUUGACGCUCCUUGAGACUGAAGCUCAUUUCGAAGAAGAGAACAUCUCAGAAUUGAGUGAAUUGACCGGGGGGUGCCCCGACACCAGUGGCUGUUAGCGGAGGGAGCUUCUUUCUCCUCCCUGCACGCAGCAAAACCACCUCCCGCCAGAUCCACCUCCACGUUGAGGCUAACGCCUGCGGCCGGCAAGCAACAUCGCCUGGCCGCUGGCAGAUGACAACAAUGCCAAGCCGCGUAGAUCGACACAUUUAAGAUCCUUGACUUACAUACGUUAUGAAAUUAUGAUGUGCAUCUUUUGUUAUGUUCUGAGAGAAUGAUUAUGUCGUCAGAUGCGGACAGAACUUUUUAUCAUUCCUGCUUUUCGGAAAAGUUUUUCAAGUUUGUUGACUAUACGUCUAGUUAGCUUGUGUUACACGGUACUAACCUGCCUUUGUACUUCUAUUUUGUUAUUGUUUUGUAUUUUAUUAUGUAGGAUUAAAUUGUUUUAAAAUGCAAUAAAAGUGCUUUGUUAUAUUUUG
Long non-coding RNA from Syngnathoides biaculeatus (alligator pipefish), 1731 nucleotides. RefSeq lists it as uncharacterized. The record is from RefSeq and is a predicted model, not a curated record. NCBI's taxonomy places the organism in Eukaryota, Metazoa, Chordata, Actinopteri, Syngnathiformes, Syngnathidae. The transcript is spliced from 3 exons.